RNAcentral lists this ribosomal RNA (497 nucleotides) under uncultured bacterium. RNAcentral describes it as "partial 16S ribosomal RNA". It matches the Rfam family "Bacterial small subunit ribosomal RNA", at positions 28 to 507 of the family's 1533-position model. The record is from RNAcentral.
GACGAACGCUGGCGGCGUGCCUAAUACAUGCAAGUUGAGCGAUGAAGAUUGGUGCUUGCACCAAUUUGAAGAGCAGCGAACGGGUGAGUAACGCGUGGGGAAUCUGCCUUUGGGCGGGGGACAACAUUUGGAAACGAAUGCUAAUACCGCAUAACAACUUUAAACAUAAGUUUUAAGUUUGAAAGAUGCAAUUGCAUCACUCAAAGAUGAUCCCGCGUUGUAUUAGCUAGUUGGUGAGGUAAAGGCUCACCAAGGCGAUGAUACAUAGCCGACCUGAGAGGGUGAUCGGCCACAUUGGGACUGAGACACGGCCCAAACUCCUACGGGAGGCAGCAGUAGGGAAUCCUCGGCAAUGGACGAAAGUCUGACCGAGCAACGCCGCGUGAGUGAAGAAGGUUUUCGGAUCGUAAAACUCUGUUGGUAGAGAAGAACGUUGGUGAGAGUGGAAAGCUCAUCAAGUGACGGUAACUACCCAGAAAGGGACGGCUAACUACGUG